GUGGGACACCAAACAUAAAUAAUAUUUCAUGGUAAAAUUUGACAUCAAAAUAACAAAUAAUAACUAAUUGCAAUACAAACAAAACAUAACUUAAUUAUGAUGUUUACAGAAGCUCCCAUUUCGCCUUAGUUAAUUCUUAUGUACCUGAAAAUUUGUACUAAGGCAAACUGGGAUUAAUUUUAUAUAAUUUUUUUGACAGCUA
Molecule: long non-coding RNA, 202 nt
Filed under: Mytilus galloprovincialis (Mediterranean mussel)
Lineage: Eukaryota; Metazoa; Mollusca; Bivalvia; Mytilida; Mytilidae
Source: RNAcentral